UAGUCCACGCCCUAAACGAUGUCAACUAGCUGUUGGGGCCGUUAGGCUUUAGUAGCGCAGCUAACGCGUGAAGUUGACCGCCUGGGGAGUACGGUCGCAAGAUUAAAACUCAAAGGAAUUGACGGGGACCCGCACAAGCGGUGGAUGAUGUGGAUUAAUUCGAUGCAACGCGAAAAACCUUACCUACCCUUGACAUGUCUGGAAGGCCGAAGAGAUUUGGUUGUGCUCGCAAGAGAACUGGAACACAGGUGCUGCAUGGCUGUCGUCAGCUCGUGUCGUGAGAUGUUGGGUUAAGUCCCGCAACGAGCGCAACCCUUGUCAUUAGUUGCUACGAAAGGGCACUCUAGUGAGACUGCCGGUGACAAACCGGGAGGAAGGUGGGGAU
This 385-nucleotide ribosomal RNA is filed under the name uncultured bacterium. Its description in RNAcentral is "bacterial SSU rRNA". It matches the Rfam family "Bacterial small subunit ribosomal RNA", at positions 791 to 1180 of the family's 1533-position model. The record is from RNAcentral.